RNAcentral lists this long non-coding RNA (23585 nucleotides) under Elaeis guineensis (African oil palm). Its description in RNAcentral is "long non-coding RNA (EGUI_LNC026250)". Lineage: Eukaryota; Viridiplantae; Streptophyta; Magnoliopsida; Arecales; Arecaceae. The record is from RNAcentral.
CCCUUCUAAGGUAUUGUUGCUCAAAUCUAGUGUCAACAGUGAAGUGAGACCGCCAAAAGAUGAUGGCAGAGGACCGCUUAGAUUGUUCCUGCUGAGGUCCAAGAUUAAGAGCUCCGAGAGAUUGCCUGCCAGAGAAACCGGAAUUUGACCAGAGAAUCUAUUUCCUGUGAGCACCAGCCUCUUUAGAUGGACUAGGCUGCCGAGUUCUCGAGGCAGCAUUCCUGCUAAUGAGUUCUCCACUAGAACUAGGGACUUGAGAUUGGUAAGUUGACCGAGGCUGGCUGGAAUUUCUCCAAUGAGGCCUUGAUUCGAUCGGAACACCAAGGUUUCUAAGCUUCCAGCGAGCUUCUCCCAGUUGCUGGAUGGGAUGGUGGUGGGUUGAUGGGGAGAGAAGCAGUUGAAGAAGCAUAGGCUCUUCAGAUGCUUGAACUUGAAAAGUAAUGGGCUAAACUUUGCAUCCUGGGUACAUUCAAGGGAGUUUUCCAGUACCGGUCCGAUGUCGAGGACGGUUAUAUACCACAGGCCAUCCAAAAAAUCACAUGAUACUCCCUAUAUUUGAAAGGUGAAUUAAUUGGUGCAAUCUGGUUUUAAUAAUAUAAAUGGAACUACAAAAUAAUCAUGAGCUUAACCAUUCAGAGUGCCUAAAGAAAUAUAUCUCAUAAUCAGACUACUAAUCAGGAAAAAACUAAGAUAUAUGAUUUGCAUCAAUGCAUUCCAGAGCUCCAUGAUGCUCAUUCCACCACUGGAAGUUGAGUUAAUGAAAACUGAAAGUCUACCACCCAUUAGUUCAUUUCACUAAUGUAAAAUGAACCAUACUUCGUUACGCUGAUGUAGAACUCAACAUCGCCGAUUAAAACAGCAUGAGGCUUCAUCACCAGCGAACGAUUACCAGAGACAAAAAGUUCUGGUUGCUAAUUAGACUAAGACAUCUCUAUCUGCAGUUUCUCUUCGUAGGGUAGUUUCAGCUUCAAACAUACAGCAUCCUCGAACCCAAAUUAAAAAUAGAAGCUACUUCAUUUGCUCGUAAUUGCAAUAACUAGUGCACAAGAUAGAUUCAGAAAAGUUUAGAAAAAGAGCAUGAAUCACUCUACUGCUCGACAUGUACCACCAACACACUUAAAUAUAAAUGCUAAUGCAAGGUCAGCAAACAAGUGCAGAUAUUUCUUUCUAUACAAUCCACGCAAAAAUGCACCACUCACACGAACACAGCGAAUCAAAUUAAGCAACUGGGCUUAAACCUUGAGAUCCCAGCUAUUUUUAAACUACCACCAUAAGAAAAGGUUCAUCAUGGUACAAGCAAAAAAUUUUGAAUAACAUAAAACAUUCCUGCCAAUUUAAAAAUCUUUUGCACGCGCGCGUUCAGCUAUGCAAAAAUUUGACGCAACGAAUGCUGAUCAAUCUUCACUACAUCAACUAAGCUGUAUCUACUUUCAAAUUAAAUAAGUCUAUGAUGAGGCCUCUAAAGUUCAUUCUACUAACUGGGGUUUCAUACAACGCAUGAAGUAUAACUUUAUCAUUAUCGCCGAAUGACAUGUCUCUAUAACAAUUUUGGCAAUCGUAACCAAUGUAAGUUUAAGAGUUUCUAAUGGGCAUGCUUAAAACUAGAUGUUUGAGAUACAUAUAUAACGUUGAAUUGAAGAGGGAAUUAAAAAAAAGAGCAGCUUAACAAAGGAAUCAUUAAGCUGAUCCAUUAUAAGAACCUGGAUCGGCGUCCAGCCACAGGGGUCCGGAUAAAGUUCUGAGCCAUUCCACCAUUUGCCGACGAAGCUUUGGAUCGCCAAAUACAGAGCUUCUUGCUCUGUCUUCUCCAUUGGGGCCGUUGAGCCUUCUUGCUGGGAGAAAACAUGGAAGGUGAGGAGUGGGAGGAUAAGAAGAGCCUGAACUACAGUGCUCUUCCUCAUUGGUAACUUGGAUAUAACAAAUUUGAGUAGAAAGAAGCACUCAUAGAGAAGCAUAUGAGGUAAGUGAGUUCUAAGGGAUGGAACCCAGCAGAGUGGUGAUAUGGGAUAGAAACUAAGGAAGGGUUAUCUAAUGAGAUAAAGGAAGGCCUUUUUCUGAUUUCUGCUUCAAAACAGAGGAGCUUGGAGUGGGAGAGAUCUCUGCCAUAAGACAUCUAACAACUCAACAAGGAAAUCAUCCCAAUAUAUGAUCUGAAAGUUGAGAAAAGGGCUGCUUUAGUGCAGACGAACUCUACUGUGUCUUGAAGCCUAGUGGUUCCAAAGAAAUAGCAGCAAGGUCAACAAUGCCAGAGGAAGCAACACUUUGGAUCACAAAUAAAGAGCAGCGAAUAUAAGAAUAGGUAGGGGGAUGCACUACUUUAACCCCCACCAAGUCCAGAAAGAAGGGAGCACACCAGAAAAUAAAAUGACAAGGAAAAGAAUCCAAAGAUGGCUCUUUCCUCAGCCCCUAUUCCAGCUGCCAAAAACAGUAGAGGUUUUGGAUUCGGAGACCGGUCCCAAAGAAGGAGAGGAGGGGAAUAGAGAGGUGGGCUUCCAAAGUAACACAAGAAGUGAGAGAAGGCUUUUUUUUUUUUUUUUUAAUUUUAUAUAUGGGAUGACUGGGAUGGGUUUAAUGGAGAAAGGAAAGGGGAGUUGGAGAAGAUCUAAGAUUGUUAUUUAUCGGAUGGUUUUCACGAGGCCCAAGAAGAGUAAUAAUGGUAAUGACAACAAUAAGAAGAGUGAGAUGAAAGGACGAAGGAUUAAUGCAUGGCAGCAGAGCAUACAGCGAUAAAGGGAUGUGUGUAGAAGAGCCUCGCGAAUGGCAGUGGAGUCUAUACGUUUGGAGGCUCUGUUGAUUGUACUUGGGAUGGCUAGAUUUCACCUCUAUUCUUUUGCUUAACCGUGUAUCCGUUGUUUCCUUCUUUCGGGUAAAAGGCUCUGAUGGUCGAAAGGAUUUGAAGGGAAUGUGGGUAUGGAAGGAUGGAGGAAUUAGCUAGGAUUCUGUGUCUUUCCCUGGGGGGGACCAUGUCGCAUGCAUGUGAUUGCAUGCAAGGAGAAUUUUAUCUUAUGGGCCCUAUUUUUACCAUCUAGUUUUACAUAUUAUGUCUAUAUAUUUUUCAUUUAAUUUUUAUUUUAAGAGCUUUUAAUUUCUUGUUUUUGAUAAUAUGUUUAACAAAAGCUGAUCUUGAUGAAAUGUUCCUCGGUUAGGAAGUCCAAGCUUCGAAUUUAGGCUUGACUUGCCGGUUUUUAAAAAAAUAUUGAAAAAAAAAAAAAAAAAAACAAAUCGAAUGAGGACCCCAUUUGGAAUUUAUCAUUAAGUAAAAAUGUAGGUUAUAAAUGACUAGUUAUUUGCAUAAGCAUGAUUAAUGUCUUAAGUUAAUCAUAUUUGCUUUCACUUGCUCAACUCCUUUGAAUAUAAUCUUCCUGAUGGGGACAGGAGGGAACUGGGGAUGGAAAUAUUGAGGCGAACAAUGCAUAUCAUGGGCCUCCAUGAACUGAAGAGCACAACUGUGAAACAAUAACUCGUGGAUAGCGGUGGUAAUUUAUUUUAUCCCAUCAAAUAUCUAACCUGAUCCGAUUUGAAUAAGAUCGAUUUUAUCCAACGCAUAACAGAUCUAGAAUGGAUGUGGAUGACGAUAAAAUCUGUCUCAAAUCAAAUACGGAUAUAUAUCCUUUCAUAAAUUUUUUUUUUUUCUGAGUAAAUGGUUUGUCUGACACGUUGCUAUCGCCACUCAAGGAAAUGGUUAGUUGGCCUACUCAUUUUAGGUUCCCUUUUUGGCCCAUCCUUUAUUUAGAUCUAUUGGUGUGGAGGUAUAUAUUAGCCAUUUGAUAAAUCUGUGGUUCUGGGAUAGCUCCUUUUUUUUUUUUUUGGGAUAGCCAUGGCCUGUAGAGAGAGCUGGAAAGGCAAUAAACCAUCUUGUUAGGCAUGGAAGGGUCUCAUAGCUUUGGCUUUGAUGAAGGGCUACAAUAAUGAGACUUUCUUUCAAAAAAUCGAAUUAUGAGACCUCGUGAUAGGAGGUCUGGCACCGCAGCCUAACACCAAACAACAUGCCAGCCACUUCAACCAUUCUUGUACUGUCCCAUUAUCUCAACUUCUUCUUUUGGUAUUGUCUGGAAGAGAAGGCUCUUUCAAAACUGAAUGUGGCCAUUGAUUAAUUCCUCUGUAGACUAAUUGGUUUAUAGAUUACAGUCUAGAGUCUAAGAGGGACCUAAUUCCUUUAUAGAUUAAAGUCUACAGUCUACACUAGAAUUUUGUGUCAAAAGUUGGACGCAUUUUAGGUACUUCUACAGCUAGGAUUGAAGCAACGAGUUAUCCUUGUUUCUUUAUUUAAAUAAGGCUUUUUAGCAAAUCGUUGGAAUCCUACCAAUUUUAUUGAUAAGUGAAAUAAAAUAUGCCUCUAAACCAAUGCAGAAAGAAAGCAGGAAAAGAUAGAUGUAAAAAAAUAAAAAAAAAUCUUUUAAAAAAAAAGAUAAGGAAAAAAAAUGAGAGAUGGAAAAUCCAAAUUCUAACAUAUGGCUCAUCAUUCGGAUGAUGUUUUAUGAUCCGAUGUGGCCAUAGUGUCUGUAUGUUUUCAUAAUAUUUUAUUUUUGAUUUUAUGAGAUGGAUAUAUAUCAGAGUUGUAUGAACUUUUCAUUUAUAAGUCCAAAAAUAAACUCAAAUUCAAGAAACCAUCCCAUACAAAAAAAGAACGGGCAAACAAAAAAUUAUGAUCCAAGAAAUAUUAGAUGUACGCUCAAGCAAUAAAAGAAUUCCUAUAAUUUGAGUUACUUAAGCAUGAUUAAUGUCUUAAGAAAUAUUAGAUGUAUGCUCAAGCAAUAAAAAAAAAAGAUUAUCCUCUAAAUCUUGAGAUUACUAAUUUUUUAGGCUCUGCAAUCUAUCGUCAUCUAUCUUGAUCAAACUCAUCGAAUUAGUGCGGCAUAAAUAUAAAUAAUAUCCAGAUAAUCAAACAUAACAUCCAAACAAGAUCAUACAAAAUUAGUUUUUUUUUGAAAAAUCUGGUCUUUAUGGCUAACUAUGAUAAAGAUUUUUAGGAGGACAUCAAUAACUAAUAGCUAACAAUUUUAUACAAAAUAUAAGACAGAUCACACCAUGUCUUUGGUUCGGGACAGGUGAUCUAAAGCAGUACAAGGCAGUAUCAACAAGACAUGUCUUUGGUUCGGGACAGGUAAUCUAAAGCAGUACAUGGCAGUAUCAAGACAUGAAUUAUUGGCUUCUACUUACUCCCAGUGAUUGUGGUCUGGCUAGUGCAAUGCAGCCUUACCGGAUCAACAUUUAUGGACCAUGGCAAAUUUGUUCCUCGAGCUAUGGAGAUCAUUAUUGUCCGGGUAAAAAUGCCGUUGGUGCACCUUGUUCCAGUUUGAAGUAAAUCCCAUGACCACAGAUAAUGGCACUCAUAACGUCGAGAAUUAUAUCAUGUUGACUCAUCUGUACCAACUUGGGCCUAAACUUGUAACUGUUCUUCUGGACAAACAAAUUUCAGGUCAUCAUUUGAUUUGCGAACGAUGCUUUUGAUCCUGAUAAUGCCCAAAAAAUUAGCAGCAAAUAGAGCUGUCAUCCGCCUGGUUGCACCUCGCUUUGGUUCAGAGGAGGUUUUGCGCUCCAAGUCUAGGAGAUGCUACCCAUACCCAUAAAUUUAAAAUAGAUAAUUCUUCCAUCGACUUUAUAGAAUUAUCAGUGACACCCUUUCGCAUGCUCAAAGUUAAUUCUUCAACUAUAUAAAGAUGACCAAACAUUCUUCAACUAUAUAAAAACAGCUUUAGUUUCUUAUUUCCAAUUAAAAGAUAACUCCAAUCAAAUUUUAUAAUAGCUUAGAUUACAUUUCUAUCUUAACAUGUUUAUAACAUAUAUCAUACUUGUACAAACAAAGGAUUUGGCUUUGAGAGUUCGAACUUGAAAAAAAGAAUAUCUCUGUAUAUCUAUACCGUAGAACUUUUGGAUGAGGAGGAAGAAGGAUGGUGAGAUGUGUAGGUUAGUAAAAUGUUAAUUACAUUUAAAUCUCUUUAGAAACUAUAUUUAGUUAAAUAAUCUUCAUUUUAAAAUCUUUAACAAUUACAUGUAUACAAACAAAUUAUAAUUACUAUAUAUAUAUAUAUGUGAGUAUAUAUGGAUAAAUAUCGUUUUAAUUGACCAUCGUAAUGAGGCAAGUAAGAAGAACCUACAGCUGAUGUCUCGGUAGGUCCUGGAGGCCCACUGUCCACCACCGCCCUACCACCAUUAGGUGGCAGUACAUGGGAGCUAGAACGCAGGGAUCUGGACCACUCUUUUGAAAAAAAAGAGACUAGGAUAAAAGCUCUCUCUCUCUCUAUCUCUAUCUCUAUCUCAAUGAGAGAAGCUACACAUGUCUGCAUGGAUAUGUGGUCAGGCCUGUUGUCUGAGAAGUCUCUAUCCAUCCUGGCUUUAAGUUUGGCUGUUGUAGCAUGGUUGCAUGUGGUGGCUUUGUUUUGUAGCAGGCUUUGCAUCAGCUCUAGUAAUUAAUUGAUUAAGGUGGGGAUCAUUAAAGGGACCGUAUUCCUUCUCUUUAAUGUAAGGGUGGAGAGAAAACCAGCAUGGGGAUCCAAAGGCUUCCAACUCACACAUGUCGACCUCCAUUGGAUAUGAGGACUGGAUGGAUAUCAAAUUACCGUACCUUAGGCCGGCAACUACCAAGAUAUGGCUAAUGCCUGAAUUGGCAUUGCGUAAGGGACUGCACCUCAGAUCCCAUUCGAGAUUACUGUUGGUUGUAGAUUUUGAAAGCACAGUUACUUUCUUUUCUUUUUCUUUUUUUUUCAAAAAAUUAUCUGUUUCUUAAUUAAAAAUUACAUUUCUAAAAUGCAGCCGAACUUUAACAUCUAUUUUAUAAUCAAAUCAAAAAAAUAUUUUUAAUACGAGAAGAUGAUAAUAUAGAACAGCAUAUAGCACUUUCAAUUUUUUAACUCUUUAUACUGUCGGUAUUCUUAAUUCAAAUAUUUUUUAUUUUAAAUAAUAAUAUAAUAUUAUAAUAUAAUGAUAAAAUAUUAUAAAAAUAUGGUAAUACUAACUAUUAGAAUAUGAUUAUUAUCAAAUAGAAAUGAUAGCAACCUAGUAUUGGCAUAAUAUUAGUAUAAUAUAAUAUAAUAUAGCAUAUUAUAAUAUAACAUAAUGUAAUAGAAUGCAAUAGAUUAAUGUAUAGCACAAUAUAAUGAAAUAAUAUAAUAUAGUAUAUUUGUUAGGCUUGAUUUGUUUGGGCCUAGACUAAAGAGGAAAAUCUAGCUAUAUUGGGCAUGCCCCAAGCAUGCAAAGACUCCUAAUAGGAGUCAAAUUUUUCGUGGACUCCCGAUGAGAGUCACAUUUCUUUGUUGACUCCUGAUGGGAAUCAAGAGUUCUAAGAAGGGCCGAAGACUACGAAAUGCCAACCUUCACCUUUAUUUAAGGCUCUCCUUCCCUUUUAGAAUCCUCCAAGAGGAUUGCACCUCCUCUUAUUUCUCUCUCUUUCUCCUUUCGAGUUCACCAAUUUCUAGCACUGUGCCUAUCAGAAUUACGAUCAUAAAUCUCAUCAGAACCAAAGUAUGAAGUCCUUAAUCUCCCUUUGUUUUCUUUUUCCAAUAUUUUUUCUCUCUAUUGAGUGAUUGACGUUCAGAUUUCUUUUAGAAAUCAACUGAAAUCAAUGUCCUUUAUUUUUCAAUCAUCUUUUCUUCUCUUUCCGACUAAUAGCACCAUUGCCUUUAAUACAAGACCCCUAAUCAAGAUCGCUCAACCUCCCUACAACUUGUCCAUGCAAGGCUAUGGUCGCCGAUAAGCAGCAAGGACCAAAAACUCAGGAAAUGGGUCGAAUCUCCUAUUUUCUAAGAUCUUCUUAUGAUUUUCUAUCGAUUGAUCACUAUUCUAAUCAUCCAUUGCUGCUCGCCACCGGCUGCUGCCAUCUUGCCAUAGCCAUUGACCAUCCCCCUCUCCUUGUUUUGCCAAGAAAGAAGAAGAAUAGAGAAAGAAAGAAAAAAAAGAAAGAAGAAGAAGAGGGAGAAAGAACAUAUCUCAUGAUUUUCUCCCUCCACUCACCCACUCGCUAAUGUUGCUCUCUUUCUCUCUCUAUCUAAUCUCUGGAUCCUAAUAUCAUUGUCAUAGUCCUCUAUUAUAAGCCAAAGAUAAUCUUUUAGAAAAGAGGCCUGCAAUCGCUUUGUUAUUCAUGCAGAUGUCACAUCCUAGCUUGGUCUUUUUCAAAUAUUUAUAGAAUCUAACCACUAUUAAUUUUUAUUGGGUCAUCUAAACCUUAAUUGAUCAUAACCAGUUGAGUUGACCUGGUUUGAGCAAAUCCAAUUAGUUGGACACCUCCGCUUAGUCAAUCAUGUCCUUCCUCCAUCUUAUAUUGCCCAAUUUUAACCUGGCUCAGUUCUCUUGGAUUUUGAUAUUAUUGAUAAUGGAUUUUAAUGGCUUUGAAUAGGUUCAGAUAAAUCAAGCAGAAUCGAACUUUGAAGGUUUAAAGCAGAAGAGAUAAGUAACCCUAACACUCUUUAUUUUUGAAUUACCGGAUGCUUUCAAUGAUUAAGACUUUAUAAAAUAUAAAAAACAUAUUUAAUAUUGAUAAUGUUGUGUUUUCUUAAAUUAAGGAUCAAGCAUAUCAUAUUUUGCAAAUCAUAUGUUAUUAUAAAAAGUAUGGUUUUAAGAAUAUUUUAAUAUUAACAAUUUGUUUACAAAUUAUGAACUCCAUAUGUAGGAAAAUCUACAUAAUUAUUAUGAAAAUACUAAUUUAAUAAUUGUUUCACUUUAUUGACUAUGAACUCUAUAAAGUCAUUGGAGAUCUUUUAACCUUUUCAAUUAUUUAUGAUAUAAAAAUAUAUGCUUCAAAAAAAUAUAAUUUAAGAAAUACGAUUAUGGCUCUCAAAUAGCUAUAUAUGGUCCUGUCAGUGGGUUACAAUAACUUAACAUACAACCCUCUCCAGCAGGUUAUAGUAGCUUGGUAUAUAUCUCUUAUCAACGGAUUACAGUAGCUUGGUAUACGGCCCUCGCCAAUAAAUUAUAAUAGCUUGACGCACAAUCGUCUCCAGCAAAUUAUAGUAGCUCGAUAAGUGGCUCUCACUAGUAGAUUAUAGUAGUUAACAUGAUUUGAUUAUAGUCCUAUCAUAGGUAUAAGAUAACUUUAGCAUUUAAUCUGUAAUGAUUAUUAAAAAUUAUGAUACGGCAAAAUGACGAAUGAUUUUAUGACUUUUUUAACAUAAUUUAUGAUUUUAGAAUAGAAACUUUAUUUAUGUAAUUUGUACAAUUUUAGCAUAUGCAAAAGUAUAGUUGAUUUAUAUAUAAUUAUACUAGUAUCAUAAAAUAUUUUAUGAAACCAUCUUCUCUAAAUGAUUUACUGAUGCAUGCAUAAACUUAUACUUGAUCCAGUAAAAAAAUGUAAGUUUUAUUUACUGAGCUAGUGUAGCUCAUUUUUUUUUUCAGAGAAAUACGACUAUUAGAAAUGAUAGAAGAUCCAGACUUGGAUGUCUGUACCAGUAAACUGAAAAAUUUUAUAGUUGAAAUUAGCUUAUUAGAUGAUUAUAAACUUGUAGUUAACUAUUUAUGAAUUUUAUGACAUGAAUUUUAUAUUUGAUUUUGAAUUUAGAUGCUCUAAAUUAAUAUUUAUUAAUUAAUAAUAUGAUUGAACCUCUUUAUUAUAUUUUUUUUAUGAUGCAUCUUUUAUUCUAUUCAAGAUAACAUAUGUUAGCUUCAUGUUAUUGUAGGUUGCAUUUCUUGAUAGCAUAGCCAUAUUAUGUCUCGCAUUUGGGAUGUGAUAAUAGUUUAAUCAUAUAUUAUAUUAUUUUAAGUGUAUUACGUGAUAAUAUUAUUAUAAUAUAUGAGUGUGAUAUUAUUAUUUUUGUACAAUAUUAAAUAGUAUUUACAUAUUAAUGUAAUAUAGUGUAAAGUAUUGCUAAUUUAUAAAUUAUGUAUUUCAUUUUGAUCUAAAUAGUUUAUUUUAUAUUUUAAUUUAGUAUGAAUAUUUUAAUCUAAAUUCAAUAACUAUAAAAUUUAGAGAUGUUGUGUCAUGGAUCAAGGGAUCGAAUGGCUCAGAUGAUUGGUUUAUGCCUCCACCUCCGCAUACGUGAGGUAUUGUCCGUUUUGACUCAUGACCAUCUUUAGGCUUCAGUGAGCUUUUAGGUUUCAAUGGGCCUUGAUCAUUUAGAGCCUCACGGUUUUAUCCUUUAAAAAGCACCUCACAUUAGGAGAGAAGAUUCCAAUCCAUAUAAGCCAUAUUCCCUCUUGACUCAUAACCGAUGUGGGACUAAAGAAGUCUUCUCUACACCACAACAUAACCUCCCAGUUAAGAAGAAGUAUGUAUAGAUAGGAGGCAAUUUUCACAGACGGUACCAAUAUUGUGGUCAUAGAUCAAAGGGUCAAAUGGCUCAGAUGAUUGGCUUAUGUCUCCGCCUCUGCAUACGUGAGGUAUUGUCUGUUUUGAUUCAUGACCAUCUUUAGACUUCAGUGGACCUUUAGUCUUCAAUAGAUCUUGAUCAUUUAAAGCCUCACGGUUUUGUCCUUUAAAAGGCGCCUCACGUUAGGAGAGAAGGUUCCAAUCUAUAUAAGCUAUAUUUUCUCUUGACUCAUAACCGAUGUGGAACUAAAAAAACCUUUUUUACGUCAUAAUAAAAGAUAUUUUAGUCACAUAUGCAGCUUUCUAAUGGGCUCCAGCAAAGGCUUUUAAGAAGAAACUCCAAAUAGGAGCUCUUAUGGAGGAGAGAUUUUUCAAGUUCUCUAAGGACCAUAUAGCAGUUUCAAAUUACCAACAACCUAUAUAUUGUCCAGAAUUAUUUUUUGGGCUCCAAAAGGUGCUUUUGGCCUCUCCAAAUGCAAUCUCAAAGCAGCCUUGGACUCGAACAAAAAUCAUAUUUGGUGGACAUCAAAGAAAAAAAUAUGGGGUGAGCUUUCGAUUUUGUCAUAUUCUUUUUAUACCAUCAAAGAAAUCUAAGAGUCAAAAACUCAUCCUAUUAGUCAAGCUGCCAAUCUCAUAUAUAUAUAUAUAUAUAUAGUAUUUUUUUCAUUUUCAAAAUAUAUUUUUAUUAAUUUAUACUAAAUGACUAGGUGAUGUACACAGAACAAAUUAAUCAUCGAGCAAGUUAGUAUAUUUUUUUAGAUAAAUUGAUAUAUAAUUUUCAGAAUAUAGAAUUCAUUGGUAGACAAUACAUAGUCAAGUGAUAUAUUUAGCAAUUUAGUCAUUUAACAAUCCAGUACAUACCUUCAAGCAAAUUAAGAUAUAGUUUUUAGGAUAUUAUAUUCACCAAUACAUACUAUAUGGGUAGGUGAUAUAUACUUGUUGACUUUCUAAUAUAUUGUAUAAACUUCUUUAAUGCAUAUAAUAAUAAUUCAAUACACACCUCCUAGUAAAAAGUAUGUUCUAAAAAUUAUGUACUGAUUUACCUGAAAAUAUAUAUUGGAUCAGUGGAAGUCGAUAAGUAUGUAUUACCUAACUAUAAAGUAUGUACCGAUGAAUAUGGUGUUUCAAAAACUAUAUAUCAAUUUUUUUGAAGGUGUAUAUUACGUUACUACAUGAUAAUUUUACUACAUGCAUAACAUCUGGCCAUGCAUUAUGUACCAUCAAGCAUCAUAUUCUAUAAACUAUAUAUGAUUUAUCUAAAUAUAUGUAUUGGCUUGUUAGAUGAUUAAUUUGCUUAAUGUGUAUUAUUUGGCUCUAUAAUAUAUAUAGAUAAAAAAUAGAUUUUGAAAAUGAGAAAGAAAGAGCAUAUAUAUCAUACGGUGGAACUAACCGCUCUCUUAGUCGGAGAAGUUGUGAUUUUUGGAUUUAGGCAUAAGAAAAAACGUGGCAAAAUGGAAAGCCAAAUCACACAUUUCCUCCCCUGGUGCUUCCCCAAUAAGAUUUUUGUUCCUUGGCCUCCUAGGUAGGAAAGUUUGGGGUGCUUUACGAAUCUUGGUACAACCAUCAAAUGACUUUAUCUACAUGCUACCUGCCAUGUCCACCUGUAUACUAAUUAAUGGGAGGAAAAAUUGAGAGAAAAAAAAAUGCUCGCAUAUUAAUAUUCCAAGUGAAACACAGGUACCAAACAACACAUGUCUACUUAACUUAGAUCUCGAAAAGCAUAUUUGGGAUGCCACUUCGAAGAAACACACAGGAAGAACAUGCAGGAAUCUAGACGGAAACAAAGCAGCAGGAAACUUGAGCAGAAAUACCUGCAAUAAGAAAAUCUUUAUUGCACGCGACUAUCUACUUUGAGACCUCAAGGCACCAAUUCCUUCUCGGAGUACUAUUGGUUUCAUCCCUAGCCAUCAUUUUCUACUUCCUGCUUUAUGACUUGCUUUGUCAUUUCCUGCUCCCCACUUCGCUAUUGCUUGCUUUGGACGUAUACUAUUAUCAAAUGGAUAUAUCAUUUUCAGGCUGACAGGUAUAAAAAUACUCCAUUGCUCAAGGAUAUUAUCAGCUGGAAAUUAAAUCGACGGGUCUUUCUGGCAACCAAUGUCUUGCACGUUCGCCCUUUUCCCGCCCAUAUGAUUUUGGUGCAAUGUAUUUAAGGUUCAGAUGGUCCAUUGUAACACUUAUUUUUCAUUUGUUUCCUGCUUUUAGCUCCCUCUUGUACCCGAAAAAAAAAAAAAGAAAAGAAAAAGAAAAAAGAGGACCUUUAAAAGCCUCCCAUCAAAAAUAUAAACAAACAAAUAAAUAAUAAGGAUCCAUUAGGCUUCAUUAGAAGCUUUUAUGCAGUGCUCAAAUGAGCACAACUUAUCACUUUAAGCCCAUGAGCCCAUACGGCUGUCCUGCUGCUGCUUUGUUCUUUGAUUGUGCGUCUCAGUUGGUAAUGCCAAAACAUAUGGUGGUCAGGCCCCCAAACCACUAGCUUUGGAGGACACAAGAUACCCUCCUUGCUGAGGCAAGCUUGCCUCUUAUGAUGUUUCUGCCAAACUGGUAGCCUCCAUUUUAGCCUGGCCCACACUGCUGUCAUAAGAAACUCGACAAUCAACUGUAUGUGUCGGCAGAUUAUCCAAACCGACCAGCCAUGCAGUCGAUGGAGUUAACUAAAUGUUACCAUGUACCGUUAAAAGUUGCUAAUACUACAUUAUAUUUGUAUAUUGUAUAUGAUACAAAUACUUUCGCACGCAAAGUUCAGAGAGGACAUCAAUAAUCCAAGCCAAGUGACAACAAGCUCAAACCGUGCAGAUCAAAUCUUUACGAUAGGCUCCAUGAAGACAUCCCACCAGCAAACGCAUGCCAUCAAGCCAUUGGCUAAGUGACAAGUUCUGGAAACUCAAAUAGUUAGUCCACACCUAGUUAUUUAAGAAGGAUCUAACGCUCUUGACUUGAUCCCCAAAAGAAGAGGAUUGCUACCAAUCUUCAGCAGCUGGAAAACCAGGCUUAUCAACCAUACCAACAACAUGGCGGACCCAUAGAAUUUAACGUGAACUUAAUUAAAUUGGCAAAGAUACACACAUAACUUACGAGCCACCGGCCAUAUAAAUAAAAUAGCUACUCCCACAGCAUGAAGAAAAACAUGAGACAGGGACCCAAGCGAUGGGGGACAUGAGAAAAUCCAACUGCAGGGCUAUGGAAAAUCCAAACAUAGCACAAAGAAAACAAUCACAAUGGCCCAUACACCAUAAAAAAAAUCUGUGGCCACAACAGAGUAUCCAGAACCCGGAGUCAUGAAUUUGUUGCACUGUCAUUGAUACACUAGCGUCAGUUGCUAUAAAGCAUCAGCUAAUUUUACUACAAGAGACAUAAAAGAAAGCAGUGAGUACUAAUAAUACAUCAAACUCAAUGACUAACACCAAUCCCUCAAACAUAAAAAUAACAGUUCGCACAGCGAAAUACAAGGAUGGCAUCUUAAUAGCGAGCCUUCAAGAGCUUAAGAAUCUUGAGUCGAAAAGAAAACUGUUCCCCAUAUACUCAGGACCUUGUCAUGUUGUGAAGAAAGUCCACAGCUUCUUCCCUAUCGAUGCAUCAUGCUUCUCUGAGUCCUCUUCAUCCUCAUCGUAAUCAUCUUCACUCCCACAUCCACCAUCAGGAGUAGCUGGUUCACUUGCUCCUGCUGCACCAUCUACCACAAUUCCAUCCUCCCCACUUUGCUCGCUGCAGUCCAUUGACUUCACAAUAAUGUCGCAGUCACUCUCAUUAGCAUGGGUUUCCUCCACCUGUCCAAAAAGACAGGAACAAUAACUGAGGUCAAGAGGCACCUUACGCACAUCAACUUGAAACAAAAUUAAAAAAUAAAAAAAAGGUAAUAUAGGCAUUAGGCAGUCCAAUGUCUCAGAAGUCCGGAUAUAAAUUAGAAAAAUCAAAGGUGUUUCUUCUUAAAAACUUUGUACCUAAGAUGACCCUUGGAACUGUUACAGUGUGAAUAAUACAAUAUUUCUGAGUGCAUGCGCACCUAAACAAGAUCAAACAGAAAAGUUCUCUCCUUCAUAAACGUUCAGGAAUGCUGCUGACAUGCAGAAUUAAAUCACUUACCUGAGACCAAUAUCACAACAUUUGAUGAGCAAUUAGCUAGUGCUGUGCGCGUGUCUUUUUCAAGGCAAGCGAGAGAAAAAGAGGCGGAAAGUCAGAGACAAGGGAGGAGUAAUUUAAAAAAAAAAGUCUUGUGAAAAAAGAGCCCGGAGGGGGGGACCACAGCCUCCUGCGAGAUGUGUUGACCAUGCUGCAGGGCCUUCAUCGUUAUAGCUUAUAUAUAGUAAAUAUUUCUACUGGUACACUUGAAAGUCAACAGCUAAAUGCUUGUAGUCUCUUCAGAAAGAAAACAAAGAUACAAUUUUGCAUUGAUGAUCCCUCAUCUACUCAAGGUUUAAAGUAACGGCUGUUAUAACGUCAUAAGUAGUUAUAACAGUUUUGACCUCCCUCUAUCGCAUUAUACAUAUAAUGACAGAGAAAGAAACAACGGCAGUUAUAACAGGCUAUUUAGCAGUAUAACAGUCCGCUACAACAUAUGUUACAUUUGUAUUGUUUCUCUAAAUAAAAUAACAAUUUAAAAAAAAAAUCAAAUUUCUUAACCAACUUCCCCCUCUCUCCAAGAGUUUGUAACACCUGAGAAAACAUAAUUGUUUAUCAGAUGAAAGUAACUUGGAAAAUAAUGACCUCAUUCUUUCAUUAUUGUCCAAUAAUUUUCCCUUAUAAUGGCAUUUUAACAGUUAUUAUUUUAAUACUAGAAAAAAAUUGAAACCACAGUGAUAAAAAAAACAGCAUUUCAACCAUUGUAACUGUCAAAAAAAGUUUCACUGGGGUAAUGUCAUCAUGGAAUAACGCAAUUAUUCAAACCCCGCAUCUGUUUGAGAAGAAUUAGUGCUGGAACCAAUGAGUGAAAAGCAAGUGAUAAGAUGCAAAGCAUUCCUGUCAACACCAAAGUCAUAACCAUGCUAAUGCAACACAAAAGUUCGAGCAAGAAAAAAGUAAAGAACCUUACCAGGGCAAGCUUCUGAGAGUUCUCAUGAACUUCCUCUGCACUUCCCACUGUUGUUCUCUGCAGCAUAUGUGAAGUUUUCUUGUUCUCACCAACAAUACCAGAUGAAGGUUCAGCAGCAGGCACCCGUUUAGAAGUUCCUUCUCCAUCACUGCCACCCUUCAAAACCUCAUUUUCAGUUGACUGUUGAUGGCUUCCUGUCUUAUGUUCUUUAGUCUGAUCGGGCAUUGUUUGGGCUGCUGCAACAGUGCCCGCACUGGCACAGCAGUUAGAUACAAAUUUCCUUGCAUAAGUCACUUGUUAUGUAAUUCAGAAAAAUAAAAUGCUCAUAAAUAAAAAGCAGAACUAUACAUCGAAUCCACGAGAAGAUACUUCAGAUUCAAGGACAUGGAUGCACCAAUUCAAAAGUAGUGAGGGGGAUUCAAGAGCAAACUUGGCUGAGAGAAGAGAUCAAGCAAUGAAUCAGGCUCGGAUGACAAAAUGAGCCUGAGCCUAGCUAGCAUAGGCCCCGCUUAAUUCAAGCAAUAUCAACUACACAAGCAUAUGUAACAAGUCAGAUAAAUCUAUACACAUAACAUUGCUUUCACAAGCCGAACCUUUGCAGAAAAUCAAUGGGUAAACUGACCCUGAGCUGAUAGGUGCACUCGGCUCUAUGGAGGUAUUGUUUUUUUCUUUUUUUUUUAAAGAUAUUUAACAAGUGAGAUUAAUAUAUAGAAUAAGAUUAAUAUAUAUAAUAAGUCUUCAUUUAUACACACCAAUAACUGUUAUUGUUUCAGUACCAAGCCAAGCUGAGCUUGAACUAAAAGAAGAACCAAGCUAAGCCCCCUAAGAUUUGAGUCCAAUCGAACCAGCAAAGCUUAAUUCAGCUCAGCCUGUUAGUGUGCCCGUAUGAAUCUAACCAAGAUUUUUAAAAGCUCAAAAAUUAUAGCUUACAGUGCCCGGAUAAGAAAUGCUAUCAAAUCAUGAAAGCACUCUUAGCAAAUGAUCAUGUACAACUUGUAACAGCAUAAAAGAUGUAUAUAGAUGCAGCUUACAUUGUAGAGCGCCUGAAAUUGUAGCGUUUCUCUCCAGGAGCCUGUGUUCCAGGAGCUGAGAUUUGACGCCUCUUUCUACGCCCACCAAGUGAAAUGCUCUCUGAACGCGUUUCACUGUCAUCUGCUUCCAGCUCCCCAGCUGUCAUCCCAGAUGUCUGAGCAAGACGCCUCUUCUGUCGGGAACUUGUUGCCACAGCAUCAGCAUGAACAGAAUCUCCUUGGCUUUCCUCUUGGAUAUUUAGAGAAUCCCUUGUUACACCAUUUGGUGGUCCAUCAUUCUUUUCUUCAGAGGUUUCCCCAAGGAUAGCUUUGGCAUCUUCAACAACUGCUUUAACAGAGCGCGUUCUUCUGGUAGCUUUAGGCCUACCUUUCCUGUUAGGAAGGCGCCGUCUCUGUUUUAAUGGUUCAGGCUGGAACUCAUUUUCAGGAGGCAAAGAAGAUUCUUCCCUUUCAUUCCGUUCAUCAAUAGGGGGAAUGAUCUGCUCACUUUCCACCUGGAUAUCAGUGGAAUUAUCUGCUAUUCCAAAAGAUGGCUCUGGACCAUCACCAGCUUCAACCAAUCUUUCAGAUUCUUCAUUUUCCCUGACUCCACUAUCUGAUUGCACUCUCUGGGCAUCAAUAGUAUCAUUACCAACUACAUAGGAUGGUCCAGGUUCAUAAUUUGCUUCACCUUCUGAAGCUUCUCCAUCAAGUCUUGCACCAAAUGACAGAGACUUCUCUGCCUGGCAUUCAGACAGUUUUUCUUCUUUCUUUCCUGGAGAGAAGUUAAACAGUCUCGAACACUUUUGCAGCCAUGACAUACGACCACCUGAAAUGACAGAACGAAGGCCUGUACCCGUAGGAGAUAUUUCAGCAUUCUUACCUUUUAGAUGCUCUUCCAAAGCCAAAGACGGCAACUGAACAUCUCCUGCAUCAUCACUCCCCAAUUGGAGCAGCUCUAAAUCACUCAUUGUAACCCCACAGUUUUUGCAAACUUUAUACUGCUCAGCAAAAGCAAGGAAGCGUUCUUUUUCCUUGGUGAAUUGUUCUCUUUGGUCCUUCAGAUUCCUGCUAAGCAUUCGCAGAGUUUCAAUGUCAUUUUGAAUCUCAAGUUGGUCAGAUUCCAGCUUUUUUCUGUGUUCAGAGAACUCUUCUUUUUCCCUCUCUAGUUGAUCUUGUUCCACCUUCAACUUCUGAAUUUUAGACUCAUUUAGAUUUUUUAAAGAAUUAAUUUGGUUUAGUUCUCUAUCUCUCCACCUAUUAAACUGAUUCUCUUUCUCCUGCAGCUGCUUCUCCAUAUCCUCAUGCUUUUUCUGCAUAUCCAUCUCAAGCUCAUGCUUACGGAGCUCAAGCUCCCGAGCAAUAUCAGCAUGACCUCUCUUGAGCUCCUCAGAAGCAUUUGACUUUUCAAGCUCCAUUGUGCUGUCAAAAGUUUCUUUCUUCAGUCUAAGUUCUUCCAACUCCCUCUGAAUACCAGCUUUUGCUUCCAGUACCUCAUUAUUCAACCUUUCCUCCUCACUGAAUCGCCAUUUUUCAAACCUUUCCCUUUCAUCAUUGACCUUCUUUACCUCUGCUUCCAACUCGACUUUCUUCUCAUCCAAUACAUCCCACUCUUUCUCAAAAUUCUCCCUCAAUUCUCUCAAAUCCUCUCUUUCCUUAAGAAGCGACUCUUUUAUUAUUCUGCAAUCCUCAAUCUCUUGCUUCAGCUUUGUUUGCAACAGGAGAUGCUGUUCCCUCUCUUCUUUGGUAAGUUCAAGUUUUUCCUCCUCCUUGAUCAUCUGCUGCUUUGCUUCUUCUACUGUAGCCUUCAAAUUCUCAAGUUCAUUUCUAGACUUACACAGAUCCUGCAGCUCUCUGUCUAGCUGCUGCUUUUCUUCCUCCAACUUCUUCUGAUCAAUUUUAAUAGAUUCCUCCCACUUCUUCAAAGCCUUUGACUUUGUGUCAAAGUCUUUCUCCUUCUGCUUCAAGCUCUGCAUUUUGUUCUCCACCUCUCGUUCUCUUUUAGUAACUUGUUCCUCUUUUCGGUCAAUUUCAAUUUUCUUCUUGUCCACUGCAUCCAGUUUGCCUUUUAUCUCUUCAUCGAAAAACUUUCUCCUCCGCUCCAAGUCCAACUCAAACUCCUGUUUCUUGGAAUUUAAAGCCUCUGUGUGAUCAUCAAGGAGCUUUUGCAUCUCCACCUUCAAUAGGAUAAAAGAGACAGUCAGAUUUAUCAAGUACAACAAUGAGGAAAAUCACAAUUACAUAAAAUCAAGGCACAGCAUAGGAUCAAAAAACUUGAGGCCCAAAAUCAAACAAAUCCAGAUGAUUGAAUAUUCCUCAAAAUGCAUAACAAAGGGAAUAUUAUGCAAUUCAGAGGAAAUAGCAGCCGGGAGGUCCAGAAUUGAGCAGAUCAAUCUUUUCUUUUUGACCUUUUACCAUUGGUACUCUGCACUCGAAGAUUUAAAGACCAGUAAAAAGACUUUAAGGUUUGAUACAAACUGCACUAACUAUAAUAAAGUUAGUGCAACCCUACCGCAAAAUUUUUCAAAUAGUGUUCUCAAACUUAUUUUGAACUAUAUGAUCUCAGAUUCAUAUGAACCAUGUCACACAAAUCCCCAUUUGCAUUAUUGUUCUUCCAUGUUUUCUUGUAUACCUACAUUCAUCUCUUUCUUAAGCAAAAUACUAAAAAAAAAAAUUCAUAUUCCAAUAUUCAAUACUAUAAGAACUAAGAUACAGAACUCAACAGUCUGUCAGGUCAUCAGAGAGUUCAAAAUUAUUAGAAAUUCUAGGCCUUCUAAGAUAGACACUUACUUUUUCUCUGGCAUUCAGCUUUUCUUCUAUUGCAAGUAACUCUUUUUCCUUCUUCUCCACAUUCUCAAUCUUGAUACUAGAUUCCUGAAAUCAAAAAUGCAAAAGAAAAUACAAAAAAAAUCACAUGAAAAUACAUUAUUAAUGCAAAAGAAACCAAAAUAUAACCAGUUUGAAAGAAGCCAACCUUCUCUUUAGAAAUUAAAGCUUUUUGUCUAUUACUAAUGUCAUCCUCUUUCUCUUUCAGUGAAUUCUUAGUAACCUCAAUCAUUUUUCGUGCCUCUUCAAGCUCUUCUUCUUUCUUUUUAAGAAGUCUAUCAGUUUCAUUUGCUCUUUCCUCUCUAUCAUUGAUUGAACGCUGCCCCUCAAGAAGCCUCUUUUGACUCUCCUGCAGAUUCUUUUCCCACUCUCUCAAGUGUUCUCUUUGUUCAUCAAGAUCCUUCUUAUAUGUUUUUCUCCUGAAGAUCAAAAAUACAAUUAGAAUCACCACCAAGAAAAAGAAGUAAUUAAUAUGUGACCAAAAGAUACAGGCCACCAAAAUAUAUCAUAUAUAGAAAGAUCAGGAACAGAACAUGCAAAUAACAGAGAGAGAGAGAGAGAGAGAGAGAGAGAGAGCAUACUCAGUAUUUAAAGACAGAUAUUCUUUCUGAAGUUUACGCUCACGAGCCUCCACAUCAUCUAAUUUUCUAUCCACCUCUGAACUCUUUCGACUUGCCUCUGCAAGCUUCGCAUCUGCAGAAUGCAGCUUUCCUUCAAUCUCCAAAUAUUUUUCUUCAAGAUUGGCUUCCAGGGCAUGAGCUUCAGCCAACUUCUUAUCCGAUGUAUAUUUAGCUUCUGCAAUUUCACCACGCAUCUCACGCAAAGCCUUCUCAAGCUGCAUAUUCAUCACCAUUCCAUGAAGAAUUAGAUAAACCAGAGGAAAAAAAAAUGAAUGCUGAAGAUUAUAAUCAUUUCAUGGAAAAAUUAAAAAUGAUGAUAAUAAAAACAAUGACAACAAAAACAGAAGAUAAAUGCAUCUGGCAUCAACAGCAAACAGAAGGAAGUUAAUAAUGAUCAAAGAAAUUCAGUAUCAAACUUUAUACCGUUAAAGCCUCCUCAAAAGAUAUAAUAGUAUCUAGACACAUACAUGUAUAUUUGUAUGCGCGUAUAUGUGUGCACGUGCGCACACACAUAUAUGUAUGUACUUAUAUUUAUAAAUGCAGAUACAUACAUACAUACAUACAUAUGCAUACAUAUGUACAUACACAUUUAUGCAUGCAUGAAUUCACUCAAUAAACUUUAGAAAGCAUUAAAACUGCAACAUGCAAAGUCAAAUCCAAAAAUCGCAUGAUAACUAAGAAAAAGAAAGGCAAGCUUCAUCAUGACAUUCACUUCUUUCUACAGAUAAACACUGAUUAGCAUACCGAUUUCAAGACAUUUUACAUUGUCAACCAAGUCUAGUGUCGCCAUGCAAGAUGCUUGAAAGAAUUGCAACAAAGAUUCCCUCAACUUCAAGCUAUUACGAAUAUCUAUGGGGAAGAAUCCUUUUAAUCCAACAUAAUCCUCUGCUCAUCAACAUCUUUUUUUUUAUAUCAACACCUAAUGUAAAAAUCUCCCUAGAAGACCAAGUCCACAAGUAGAUAGGAAAAAGAGGAUAAAAUGAAAUCUGAAAAUAGAUGUCAAUGCAGAUAUUCUUCAUAGGAAACACAACCAUGCACUUCAAAUACAAAUACUUGAGCCUCAAAAAUAGAAGAUAGGAAAAAGAAGAUACCAUGAAAAGGAGGAAAAAAAACAAAGGGCUUAACAACAGCAUUACUCUUAAGGUCAUUACCAUGGAUGUCAUAGCAUAUCUAGAUACAUUGCAAAGUAUAGCACUCUAAACCAAAGGACUCCAGCAAGCUGCAGUUCCACAUUUGAGCUAGUCUAAUUCACAAGACGACUUGAACUAUUACAUCAAGCAUUUCAAGACAAAUAAAUCUGUAUGGAGCUUUUGUAUACCAACAGUCUUCAUUCUCACUCGAGACUUGCAUACCAAGAUUUUUUUUUUUUAAAACAAACAUCUUCCAAUUAGUCACAAGUAUUUAUUAAUUUAAAAAAUUACAUGGGCUUGAAAGAGAGUGAAUAAAUAUUUGACUAUGGACACUCCUAGAACCGUUUUCUCAUAUUAUUCUCUCUUAAAAUUUCAACAGUUAAAAGUUUCUACCAUCAAGAGUACUUUGAGCCAUCAAUACAAAAAAAGGAAAAGAGGAAAUUUCAACAAAAAAGUUAAGUGAAGUGUCAAAAGAAGAUUUUCCUUCACAACAAGUUGAAUUGCAUAAGUCUUAAGGUAAAAUACAACUCAUGGAAAGCAAGAGUGCUUCACAUACCAAGACUGAGAAUUAUUCAAUAUAAUAGUAUAAACAAACAAGAGAGAGAGAAAGAGGAUGCUAUGUGAAGGCAAUGACAAUUAUAGCUAUAACAUUGAAAAUAGGAUGCUACAAUAUCACAAAACACAAUAAUGCAAGGACACAACUAGGAUUCACUUUGAGCUAAAUGGCUUAAUAAUUCACUUUAGAAUUAUAUACACCAAUAUAGACUAGUUGUGAAAAAUAAAUAAUAAUAACUGCCCACAUACAUCUGCAACACACUGCUUCUCAACUCCCAGAGCCUUCUGCAGAUUUUCCUUCUGCUUUUCAUAUUCUGAUACGGCAAUUGUGUGUGCAGCCUGUUCCCGUUUUAGGAUCUCCUCUGCUUCUGCAAGGCCUUGCCUGAUUUCUUCAUAUUUACAAGUCCAUUCCUUUUUCUCAAUAAGCAGAAGCCCCAUAUUAUAUUGAUAUUCAUGAAGCUGUUCAUAAAAAAACAAGGUUAACAAAACUGUUACACCAAACAGAAACAAAAUGGAAGGAAUUAAAAAUGUCAACAGAACUCAUUGUCCAACUACUGAUUAUUAGAACAAAGAUGCUGAUUAAAAAGUUGUGUGAAAUGAAUAAAAAGUUCAGAAGCAUGUGAAAGGACGGAUUAAUAACAUAAAGUUCAAAAACAAUGAAUCAACUCCUGAAUAAACAAAAAUUUUCCUGGAUGUAGGCAUCAUAAGCACUGAUCCUGAAGUCAGUUACACAGGAUGGUUAAAUAAAAACGAAAAAAAUAUGUUAGCAUAAAACAAAUCAGUAUCACAUCAGCAAAGGAUAAAUAUAAAAAGAGUACAAUGUAAAACAACCAAAUCAUCACAAUACCUGGUUUCAAGCAUAUAGACAUGCCAAUAGAAACACUUCUAAACAAGUAUAUUGCAACAAUCUUAGAAAACGAUGAAAUCAGAUAAUGAAAAAAAAUGUGGUAGGCACAAUAAAUAGACAUCAUGUAUCAUGUUAAAGAUGUGAAAGUGGCAGCUGGAAAUGAUUGCCAUGAAAAGGAAGAAGAUAGGCAAUAACAAUCAAUAUAAUGUUGAUCUUCACAUAGUUUAGCAAUAGAAGGAAUAAAAUAAAAAAAUGUGCCCAUGGAGGGGGAAAUUUUUAAUCAGUCUAGAUUUAUAUCUAAAUUAUGCUGUACCUUGUUUUUGUAAUUUCUUGAUUUAUUAUACCUUUUGACCUCCUCUUUACGAUAUCUAUGAAACAAGAAAUUCCAAAUGAUCACACACCUCACCUAACAUAAACAGCAUAAAAUUCAAUGAUCAGGAAGAAUGAGGCAAAGUUUCCAUUCUCUCCUCAAAGAUUCUAAAUCUUAGGGAUUGAUUUGCCCCACAAAUUUGCUUCUUCACACAGUUCAACUAUAAUUUGAAAUUCACUACAUGUUACAUAUUUGGUUUGACAGGAGUAGGAUUAAAAAAAAAAUUCGCAUAUCUCUGUAUUCUUUAUUAGCAAAGCAAGAGUUAUUUUGAGAUUAACUGGCCUGGAACUACAAUUAGUUUUAGAAUUCAGAUCAGCAAAGGGGACUGUGAGAUUGGUUAGUCUCCAUCGUUGCUGAGCAUAGAAACACUGAUCACAUAUCACUAACCAAAUAGAAAGAAUAUCCAAUGAGUUUUGAAGUGUACAAGAUCUUCUAUAUGGAAUGGAGCUCAGCAUAUAGCGACAGCAGAAUCUCCAGUUCCUAUCCACUUCUUGUGACUUCUGUUCCCUGAUGACUAUAUCACCUAUUCUCUGUUUUUUUCUUCCUUGCUUGAUGCACUGGAGCUGCUGCCCGGGCAUGGCAAGCAGCUUCUUCUUCCUCCUCCUCUUCUAAGUUCCAGAGCCAAUUUCCUUUCUUUUUCUUCUUCUUCUGCUACUGUUACUGAACAAAGUGAUUUUCCUUUGUUUUUUUCUCUUCUCUCUUCUUUGUCUUUAUCUUGCUUGAUGCAAUCUGCUGAUAAUAGCUAGCUUAUUCUUGCUCCUCCAUGCUGGCUUCUGGCUUGGGCCCUUUCUCCUCCUCUUAUUCUUCUUCUUGGCCGGCCGUGAACCUGAUGAUUGUGACCCUGCAGCCAGUGGGCUGUGCAGCAGCUUCUUCCUGCUGCUGCAGCCACCUAUUUGAACUUUUUUGAGUACGAAAAAAGGAUGUAUAUGUGAAAUAUAUCCAGCACACAUUAAUUGAAGCCUUGAUG